This 71-nucleotide transfer RNA is filed under the name Heliconius melpomene (postman butterfly). RNAcentral describes it as "tRNA HMEL010562". It matches the Rfam family "tRNA". From Rfam's summary of the family: Transfer RNA (tRNA) molecules are approximately 80 nucleotides in length. Their secondary structure includes four short double-helical elements and three loops (D, anti-codon, and T loops). Lineage: Eukaryota; Metazoa; Arthropoda; Insecta; Lepidoptera; Nymphalidae. The record is from RNAcentral.
GCAUCGGUGGUUCAGUGGUAGAAUGCACGCCUGCCACGCGGGCGGCCCGGGUUCGAUUCCCAGCCGAUGCA